Molecule: long non-coding RNA, 1208 nt
Filed under: Zonotrichia albicollis (white-throated sparrow)
Lineage: Eukaryota; Metazoa; Chordata; Aves; Passeriformes; Passerellidae
Description: lncRNA (ENSZALG00000012802.1)
Source: RNAcentral
CACAGAGGAAACUCCCUGGCCCAGUGGUGCAGGGGUGAGGUCCCAGCAAGGCUUCAGCUGCCCUUGGCUGAGCAGUGACCCUGCACUGCAGGGAGAGACGGAGGCUCCAGGCUGGUCCCACCACGCACCCAGCACACCUUGAGCCUCUUGGGGAGCAUGGAGCCCUGGCUGGCCAACACCUUCCUACCCCUGCUGCUCCUCACCUGGCUGCCACUUGGAACAGCCAGUCAGAUGGCAAAGCCAGUCACCACUCUGCCGCUCAAGAUUGAUUUGGAGAAUCUCACAGUGCAGGUGAAGUGGCACAAUCCUGAAUGUCUGGAAGGGGAGAAUCAAACCAACACUGAGUCUCUGGGAGAAAAAUGUAUGAAUUUCACCAGCUCAAACCUGUGUACAGCCCACACAGGAAUCUGUGUGUCUGGGGUUGUCAUCACAACACCAAACUCAAGAGAUGCUGGAAAUCAAACCAACACUGUGUUUCUGGCUGGAAACUGUAUGAAUUUCACCUGCUCAAGGCUGUGUACAGUCUGCACAGGAAUCUGUGUGUGCAGGGUCUUCAUCACAAGACCAAACUCGACAGAUGCUGGAAACAGCACGCAAGCAGCAAAUCUCAGUAAGUGGCAGUGGGGCUGUUUCCAUGGGGGAGAUGAGUGGGCAGAGAGGGAUGUUCCCUCCAGCACUCCUCUGGUUCUUCCAUGUGUUGUUUCCCCUGAAAGCAUCCUAAGAACUGGAGAAGCCAGCCCAGCCCAGCCCAGCAGCUUUUGGCAGAUUCAUCCCACCAUGGGAUGGGGGGACAGACCAUGGAGCUGCUGGACCAUUGGUUCCUUUCUAGGACCUGCCAGAUUCUCCAGCUGCAGCACAUCAGCCAAAUCCUGACAUGGCUGGAGCUGUGCUGGCAGGAGAGGGACAGCCAGGACUGUGGGCUCAAGGCUUCUGCUCCAAAGCAGAGCAGGGUGCAGGGUUCUCUGCCUCUGGACAGUCUCUCACUUGUGUUUCUGCCUUUCAGGCUCUGGCUGUGAAGGAUCUCAGACUGAUGUCACAGUCAAGAACAUCUGGAAAGGUGUGUCCCCACAGUCCCCUGGCUGCAAGAGUGGAGGGCAGGAGGAGUCCUCAGGGAAAAAGAGGGAGGAGCAAUAAGGGAGAAAAGAGCCAGAUGUUUUCCCAUGAGUGGGUGGGAGCCAGUGCCAGACUGGGGUAGGCACCAGUGGAUC